CUUUCUGAAACUCACCUGAGACUCGACCGUCAUGAUGAGACUGAGCUCCUGCUGGACUCUCCAGGAAGGGUGAUUCUGAUGAAAACAUUAAGGGAUAAAUAUUAGCUGGACUAGUUUGAGAAUAUUUGCCCCUAACAGAAGAGCUUUAAGUCAGGCAGAAACUUUAAUUUUGAUCUUAUCUAAAUAUUUAUAUGGCAUCCAAUUACUGUGAUAUCCAGGGGGCUGAACAUAGGAAUACAACUGAGCUGAUGAAGUGGAAAAAAGUGAUAUUACUUUGAUCAGUAUCAUGGGAUAGCAGCAGCAGCAGUAGAAGUCGGCCAAAAUUAGGAGUGCAACAGGUCUUCUGAUAAAAAGACCCAGUUGGCUGUAGAAACAAUCCCCAGAUAAUGGUAAGAGACCAAUGCCUGAGAAGUCCAGCACCCAGACAGACUGUCGAGAGGAGGUGGCAUCUGAAAAGGAUCUGAGGCGGUGAUGUUCCCUCUCCUGUCAGAUUACAGAUUGGAUAUUGGCGAAAAGUGGACGAACACAAUACAAAUGGGGACUUUUCUUCAAGCAGGAGCUGAAAUCCUCCAUGUCUCACUCCUCUGGGAGAGAUUCCUGCCACUCGGAAAGAAAGCAAAGAUGGCAAUGUGACUGGGGACCCCCAACUCCACCUACUACUUCCACACGAAUGCUCGAUAUAAUCAUCUGUCUUAUGAACAGCAAAAGUUUUUCCAGAAAUGGGUGGUGUUUGGUUUGGUUUUUUUGGUAUUUGGUAUUAUAGGGUUCUUCAGAGUCUGUGUGUGGUUCUCCUGCCCAAGAACUAUCCUCCUUUCAUGCUCUCUUUCCCAGGAUUUACUGUGUGAUGAGGGCAGAGCCAAAACCACACGCCAUUUUGAAGUAGCUAAUUCCCCAGUCUGUUUCAAGGUUUGAGGCUUGCUUGCUGGUCUUGGACACUCUCUAUUGUUCCUUCUGUUCUGAGGAUUAGUUUUUAGUGAUCACCUGUAUCUAAGACUCAUUUGAAUAUUUAGGACAUAAUUAAGCAGGGGUAGAUAAAUAACUACCCUAGUGUUAAUACUUGGAUAGCAAAGAAAGCAGUCUCCUCCACACAAUGGCCUGUCCUCAAAUCUCAAGUCUGGAAAUACAAGCGCAAUUAGACGUUGUUUGAUUUUGUUUGUUUGUUUGUUCAUUGUUUGUUCGUAACCUGUAUUAGGGACUGAUCCAAAGCACACUUGGAGUCAAUAGAAAGACUCCCAUUGACGUCAGUGGGCAUUGGAUCAAGCCCUUGUUGUACAUCUGUUUUCUUGUUCCAUAAUAAAAGCUUUGAUCAGCUAUAGAACAGUUUGGAAUGCUUCUGGGAGAGCCUGGAUGUGGUACUCAAGGACUGUGCUGUUCACUGUCUUGCUCCUGACUGAAGGUUGAUCUGAGGGCCCUACAGAGCUAAAGCCAGGGACCUCUACAACCUGAACUAAAGGAUCAAGUCCCGUAGCUAGCAGCUGGAACAGAUUCAUAGCCUUUGUGACUUGAAGACGGGAGCAGGGAUGCAUAACACACAGUGAACAGUGGGUUGCACUAUGAUACUUCAUCUUGGAGUGAUUUAUUGAAAUCACUCUAAUUUUUUCUCCCUCAAUUCCACAUCCUUUCUUUGAAUUGCCACGUCUUUUUGCUCUAUUUUUCUA
Molecule: long non-coding RNA, 1658 nt
Organism: Chrysemys picta bellii (western painted turtle)
Lineage: Eukaryota; Metazoa; Chordata; Testudines; Emydidae
Source: RefSeq, a predicted model, not a curated record